This is a long non-coding RNA of Callithrix jacchus (white-tufted-ear marmoset), 4363 nucleotides long. The record is from Ensembl. Lineage: Eukaryota; Metazoa; Chordata; Mammalia; Primates; Cebidae.
AGGCUCUGUUUUACACCAAAAAAGCUCUUCUGGGCACCGAGGCAGGCACCGUGGGUUCCCUGCUGCCAGAAUUAAUGUGGGUAUAAAUGAGUUAAUACUGCGCACUGCUUCUGGGGCAUGCGAUGUAGCCCAUGAGAAUCUCCGCGGACUCUGAGUCUAGAGGCGAAGAAUCUUUGUUUUGUCACUGAUAAAUGAUCUGCCUGCCCUUAAUCCUGAUUCCAUAUUCCUCAUUUGUAAAGCUGUUGGGGUAUUUGCACUGAGCAGAUCGCUCUCUCUGCCAGCUUAGCUUCACAUGGCAGUUUGGGAUUUUUUUUUCUUUAAGAUUUUAUAAAGCUGAGUGUAAAAUGGGAAUGUUUUCAUAAACGCUUAAGCAUCUUUAGUGAAGCUAAUUUAUAGAAUUGAAAUGUUCCUCUCCGGCAGUUUUAAACUCAAAUUCCUCCGCGGUGGUGGGGGGUUGGGGCCAAGAAACAGGAAACUGCUCUGUUUCAUUGUUCCCACUCAACAAUAAAAAAUUAAACCGCCUAAAAAGUGCAAGCUAGAGAGAAUUUUUUCAGACAUUCUCUCCUCUGAAUUGGAGUGAUGGUGAUAAAGACACAAAUGGGCUCCUUCUCCCUCCCCGGGUCUCCCCGCCCUCCCCCUAGCAGGGGGCCCGGCAGCCACACCUUGAAUCUGUGGGGUGACUCAGCCCCUAUGGCACAGUGCUAAGUACAACACCCAGCACCUUACUCAAGUCACCUUUGCCAGCGGCGUGCCUCCCGGUCCCUCCCUUGGGAGCGCGUCUUGGCAAUGGCGUGACUGGAUGGCGAAGAACCUGAAUUGUGCAACCUUGCGAUGUUGUGUAACCACCACCGCUGCACUUUUUUCACAGUCGGCUGGAGAGUGUACCGCACAGCCAGAGUCUGCAGCGAGGUUCCCGUGAAGAAAAAGUACGGUCAGCAGCUUCCUGAUUGUGAUUUACCAAGAAGCGGCACAGUCUCUGCAGGAAAUAUGUCAGCUGCCCCAUUGUCCUCUUAUUUAAAGUAGGACAGACACCAAGCUUGAGAAUACUUGAAUAGGAGGACUCAGAAGCAGAAAAUGAGAGCAACCAAGUCAGUCUCAAUCAUGACUCACAAGCUCCAACUUCACUUAUGGAGUCAUCCAGUGAAAUCAAACUGAUAGUGAGUACAGGGAGCAGCAGUGAUCAGAGGAAGCCAAAAGAGCUCUGAUGAGAGGAACCAUGUCAUUUUCUCAGCCUUUAUUGUUGGUGUCUCCCUGAAGACCAUUUACUUGGAACUUAGACAGGAGACUAAAGUCUGUGAUCUCUGGGUUUGCUUAACUCUGUAGACAGCUGGUAUAUCACAUACAAAAUAUUACCCCACACUCUCAUAGUGUGAUGAGUUGUUAAUAAAACCAUUCCAAAUUUUUGGUUCUCAUUCACUCUAAAUGUAGAUAGUACUGGCUGAACAUGGAUAUAUCAGCUCUGCUUAUCACUCUAAAUGUCAUCUGUCUUUAACUUUAUCCAAAACAGUUUUAUUUUGCUUCAGAGAAAGCAAUGCUCUCAAUUUCCUGAAAAUCCAAGCCAAGAAGAAUCACAGUAUGAAGAAUUAUGCUAAAUAUUUGGUCCUCAGCCUUCCUGGAGCUGUGGCAUGAAGCAUCAGUGGCCUCAAUAUGUGUUGGGUUUUCCUUGGAAUAAUGGAUAACACAUGUGCUUUCAAAAUUUUAUGUAUAGUUGAGAGUUUUGGGAUAGGGAACUGUCCAUAAUUCUGUCUCCUCAAGACAUUACAAGAUGUUUUCCUGUCUUUCUGUAUUUCCACAAAGAGGACGUGUGAAUGUAUAAAAAUUCCCUAAUAUCGUUUCUGCCUCACUCUCACCCCAUCCCCAAAUAGUUGUUUUAUUUGGUCUGCUUUCUUUCUUAAGUUUCAGUGUAGGCGAUAUUUUAACAUGGUUUUUCUUUUUUUUUGAGACAGAGUUUCACUCUUGUUACCCAGGCUGGAGUGCAAUGGCUUGAUCUCAGCUCACCGCAACCUCCGCCUCUUGGGUUCAGGCAAUUCUCCUGCCUCAGCCUCCUGAGUAGCUGGGAUUACAGGCACGCGCCACCAUGCCCAGCUAAUUUUUUGUAUUUUUAGUAGAGACGGAGUUUCACCAUGUUGACCAGAUGGUCUCGAUCUCUUAACAUGGUUUAAAGCUUAGAUUAAGAUUAAGAAUUUGGACAACACAGUUUGAAUUGUCAGCUAUUUACUAAUUGCAACUUUUAAUAAGGUGUAGAUUCUUCCUCUGAAAACGAGAAAAAUAAUUCGUGCUACCUUGGCUUCCCAAAGUGCUGGGGUUACAGUUAUAAUGGAUAGCAGAGUAGGGUUGAAGCAGGAGGUGGGACUCAACUCCAGAGGCGGGUCUCAGACACGAGACCAUAUUGAGGACUAGCUAACACAGGGCUGGGGUGGGAGCAGCUUUCCAAUCAGACACACCCACCAGUGUGCCAGGUCAGUUUACCAUCACCAUGGAAACACCGGGAGUUAUUGCCCCUUUCUGUGGCAAUGACCCAAUGACCCGAAAGCUACUACCCCUUCCCUAGUAAUUUCUGCAUAAAUUGCUCUUGAAUCUGCAUGUUAUUAAAAAUAGAUAUAAAUGUGACUGCAGAACUGCCCUGAGCUGCUACUCUGCGUACAGAGAAGCUCUGUUCUGCAGGAGCAGUCACACCACCGGUGCUAUAACACUGCUGCAUCGAUAAAGCUCUUUUCUUCUACCCCUGGCUUGUCCUUGAAUUUUUUCCUGGGCAAAACCAAGAAUCCUCAAGAGCUAAGCCCCACUUUGGGGCUCAUCUCCCUGCAUCAGGGUGACUGUAGUUAACAACAGUGUAUUAUAUAUUUCAAGGUAGCUAGAAGAGAGGACUUGAACUGUUCCCAGUACACAGAAAUGAUAGAUACUCAAGGUGAUACAUGCCCCAAUAACUCUGACUUCAUCAUUAUACAUUCCAUGCACGUAACAAAAUAUCACGUGUCCCAUACAUAUGUAUCAAUGUAAAAAAGUAGCAUGCAUGCCCCUCCCCAAAGAAUUGAGCAAAUGAAUAAGUGAAUGAAUGGUAGUUAUUUGCUAUUUUCUAGUAGUUGUAAUCAAAAAUGAUAUUCAAAAGAUGUGCCAUCAACUGGUUGCAUGAGGCUUUAAUCCAGAGGCAGUUGGGGUGAUAUGGGAUGCACCAGGGGGAUCAGCCCCCAACUGGUGCAGAGGUGUUUUAUUACUCGACAGUUGGUUGUCUGUGUUGGUGUGCUGUCUGAAUGUCAGCCCUGCCUGUCAACACUGGCAUCAUGUCCUCCACACUCUUCCCCAAUCCCUUUUUGACCCCAAACACCAACAUUGGCAGGAUGACUGAGUGGGAUGAAGGUCGACCGUAGAACUUUUUUCCUACUCAGUGCAAAGCCAACUGGCCCAUACCAGUAUCAACCUCAACUUUGGUUCCUUUGGCCCUGCACUGUGAGAUUUGAGCCACUGGCCAACGCAACCAGCUUCUAGUAUUACCACGAACUGAUCUUUUUCUACCUUGGAAAUUUUCAUUGUAACCACUCCACAUUUUUGCUAUAAUCAGGCUUAUGAUUAUAAGGCAGGGACUUGCACAUUGCAGGGUGGGUUGGCACACUUCUUCAGAUGGACUGGCAAGGGCACAUGUCCUCCUUCCAAUUCUCUCUUAAACUGAAUCACUCCUCUGGCUUGGCCAGGAGAAUACCAGCUUUGCCAAGCUGACUUUAUUAUGUGUAUCCUGGUGCACAUUCCCUUUUGUGUAUGUAGCUCUGUUUCCUGGCAUUAUUAUUUUUGGUAGGAUUGGGGUCGAUCUCUGGCGAUGUGUUAUUUUUCCAGCUGAAGUGUUUUAUUCCUGCACUUUGACAUUCCAUGAAGCUUUGUGAAAACACUCGCCCUGCUCUCGGGAGGUUGUUUGUAGAGGGUAAUGUUGCCCCGAACUUUUUCUUCCAGGUCAUGGUGCAAUCCACAGGACUGAGACGAGUUGCCAUUCUGAUUCUCCGUUCACUGAAGGACUUGGGGCUUAAAACUUGAUUUCUCUGAGCCUUUGUUAUCACAACUGUAAAGUGGUGAUAAGGAGAGAAUAAAAGAGAUAAUGUGAAUUGAAGUACAAAGCAAUCUCAGGUAGUCAUUCAUUACCAUGCAUCAGCCAUAGUUCCUGGCUGUAGGGAGCUAUGGAUUGAUGCGGGAAAUAACACAUUCAUAGUCAAUUAAGAUACAGACUCAGAAGUCCUGCAAACAGGGAUAAAUGCAAGGUGUUAUAAAAGCACAUGGGAAGAGGGCUAAACUCAGUCUUGAGGGCUUGUUAGAAAAAGCAUAGAGCUUCAUGGAAUGUCAUGGAAUGUCAAAGUGCAGGAAUAAAACAUUUCAGCUG